Molecule: ribosomal RNA, 635 nt
Filed under: uncultured bacterium
Lineage: Bacteria
Description: bacterial SSU rRNA
Rfam family: Bacterial small subunit ribosomal RNA
Source: RNAcentral
CUCCUACGGGAGGCAGCAACAGGGAAUCGUACGCAAUGGACGAAAGUCUGACGUCGCAAUGCCGCGUGGAGGAUGAAGGCCUUCGGGUCGUAAACUCCUUUUACAGUAAUUGAGAGGUUAUUGAGAAUAAGCACCUGCUAACUCUGUGCCAGCAGCCGCGGUAAUACAGAGGGUGCAAGCGUUAUCCGGAUUUAUUGGGCGUAAAGCGUUUCGUAGGUUUUCAGGUAAGUUACUCUUCAAAGACCACGGCUCAACCGGGGGAAGGGGAGUAAUACUAUCUGAAUUGAAAUAUGGUGGGGCUUCUGGAACUGAUGGUGUAGUAGUGAAAUACGUUGAUAUCAUCAGGAACUCCGAGGGCGAAGGCAGGAAGCUAACCAUUUUUUGACACUGAGGAACGACAGCUAGGGGAGCGAAAGGGAUUAGAGACCCCUGUAGUCCUAGCCGUAAACUUUGCUCGCUAGGGGUUAUGAUUUAUCAUUAGCCCCGUAAGCUAACGCGUUAAGCGAGCCGCCUGGGGAGUACGGUCGCAAGACUAAAACUCAAAGGAAUUGACGGGGACCCGCACAACCAGUGGAGCAUGUGGUUUAAUUCGAGACGAAACGAAAGACCUCACCCAGCCUUGACAUGAUACCGUU